Molecule: unclassified non-coding RNA, 3168 nt
Filed under: Hevea brasiliensis (rubber tree)
Lineage: Eukaryota; Viridiplantae; Streptophyta; Magnoliopsida; Malpighiales; Euphorbiaceae
Source: RNAcentral
GGAUUGAAAGGACAGCUGUCUGGAGAUAUCACAAACUUAGCAGAACUACAGAUUCUUGAUCUGUCAUACAACAAGGAUUUGCGAGGACCUCUUCCAGCAUCAAUUGGGAAUUUGAAGAAGCUAAAAAACUUAAUUCUAGUUGGCUGUCGUUUCUCUGGUCCUAUCCCCAAUUCAGUUGGAUCACUGCAGCAGCUGGUUUAUUUGUCUCUAAAUUCGAAUGCCUUUACUGGACCAAUUCCACCUUCCAUUGGCAAUCUAUCUGAACUUUAUUGGCUGGAUCUAGCUGACAAUAAGCUUGAAGGGCCCAUCCCCAUCUCCACAGGGACUACACCUGGUCUUGAUAUGCUAAUUAAAACAAAACACUUUCAUCUUGGAAAGAAUCAGCUCUCAGGCAGAAUCCCACCUGAACUUUUCAGACCGGACAUGCAUCUCAUACAUGUGCUUUUUGACAGCAACAAGCUCACUGGCAGUAUUCCUUCUACCCUUGGCCUUGUGCAGACUUUGGAGGUUGUGCGCCUUGACAGGAAUUCAUUGACUGGACCUGUCCCUUCAAACCUCAACAAACUUACCAAUGUCAGUGAUUUGUUUUUGUCCAACAAUAAAUUGAGUGGACCUCUUCCCAACCUUACUGGAAUGAAUAUUCUUAGUUACUUGGACAUGAGCAAUAAUAGUUUUGAUGCAUCAUCUAUUCCACCAUGGUUUUCAAGCUUACAAUCCUUGACAUCAUUAAUAAUGGAGCGCACACAACUUCAAGGCCAAAUACCAGACAGUAUCUUUAGUGUUGCCCAAAUACAAUCAGUUGUAUUGAGCAACAACGAGCUAAAUGGCACCUUGGACAUUGGCAACAACUAUGGCGAACAGUUGGAAGUCAUUGAUUUGCAGAAUAAUUCCAUUACUGAGUUUGCACAAGGUUCAGGAUACAGCAAAACACUUAUGCUAAAGGGUAAUCCAUUUUGUGCAAAGAUAGGAUCAACAGAAAACUACUGCUCACUUCUGCAACAGCCAAAUACUUUAUACUCUACACCUCCAAACAAUUGUGUCCAACAUGACUGCAAUUCAAAUCAAAUUAGCAGUCCCAAUUGUAAAUGUGCAUAUCCAAUCACAGGAACCAUGCACUUCAGAUCUAUUUCCUUCUCAGACUUGGGAAAUGCAAGCUACUACAUUUCUCUACAAGCCUCAAUGAUGGAUGCCUUUCAAUCUAAUCAGUUUCCUGUGGAUUCAAUUGCUCCAAGUGACCCAAUCAUGGAUGAGUAUGAUUACCUAGACUUGAGGAUAGAAGUCUUUCCAUCUAAUAGUGACAGUUUUAACAGAACAGGAUUUUCUAUGAUUACAUCUCAGCUGAACAACCUAACAUUUUUCCAGCAUCCAAUUUCUUUCGGACCAUUCUGUUUCACUCUUGAAAACAAUGAUUAUUUUUCAGGACCAAACAAAUCAUCAAAUAAAGGAAUCAUCAUUGGAGCAGCCAUUGGUAGUUCUAUACUAGUGCUGCUAUUACUUGUGGCCGGAAUUUAUGCAUUCAAACAAAGAAGAAAAGCUGAUACAGCUACUGAGGCAGCUAUCCGUCUAAGAGAUCCAUUUGCAUCCUGGGACCGAAAUGAAAGUGCUCUAAGCCGUCCACAAAUAAAUGGAGUGAGAUGUUUCACCUUUGAAGAGCUUAAAAAAUGCACUAACAAUUUUUCAGAUGCCAACAUUAUUGGAAUUGGGGGAUAUGGGAAGGUUUAUCGAGGAAUUCUUACUGGUGGGAAAGUAGUUGCUAUAAAAAGAGCUCAACAAGGGUCAUUGCAGGGUAAUGUUGAGUUCAAAACUGAGAUUGAGCUUCUAUCAAGGGUUCAUCACAAGAAUCUAGUCAGCCUAGUGGGUUUCUGUUAUGAGCUAGAUGAACAGAUGCUGGUCUAUGAGCAUAUUUCAAAUGGUAAUCUAAAGGAUAGCAUUUCAGGUAAGUCAGGUAUCCAGUUAAGUUGGGCAAGGAGACUUCGAAUAGCCCUUGACUCAGCCAGAGGUCUCGCUUAUUUGCAUGAGCUUGCCAACCCACCCAUCAUCCACAGAGACAUUAAGUCAACUAACAUUCUAUUGGAUGAUCAAUUAACUGCAAAAGUAGCUGACUUUGGUCUAUCAAAGCCUUUGGACCACACUGAGGGUCAUGUUAGUACUCAGGUCAAAGGCACAAUGGGCUAUAUGGAACCUGAAUAUUUCAUGACCCAGCAGUUAACUGAUAAAAGCGAUGUUUAUAGUUUUGGAGUGGUAAUGUUGGAAUUAGUUACUGGCAGAAAUCCAAUACACCAUGGAAGACAUAUUGUGACAGUGGUCAGGAUGGCAAUGGAUAAGACAAAAGAUUUAUACAACCUCCAUGAGAUCCUUGAUCCUGCCAUUGGCGUGGGCAACACAUUGAAAGGUUUAGAAAAGUUUGUAGAUCUGGCAAUCAGGUGUGUUGAAGAAUGGAGAGCCAACAGGCCUGCAAUGGGAGAGGUGGUCAAAGAGAUAGAGAACAUAGCAGAGCAGGCUGGUCUGAACUAUGAUUUUGAAAUGCUAUCUACUUCUGCAAGUCAUUAUGAUUCAAACAAAGGAAGUCUCUACCUCCCUGACAAUAAAAAGUUCUAUGAGUACAGUGAAAGUUUUCCACAUUCUGAGAUAGAACUUCAAUAAUAAAGUGCUUUACAUUUGAUGUCCUAAACUUAGUAGUAAUUGGCUAGCACCCCAUGUUUACCUUGGAUCAAACAUGCCAAUUUUGUUACAACUUUUUGUGAUAUCUGUAAAAUAGCAGGGCACUCACACAAAAAUGCUUCUUUGUAUGGUAGUCCUUUAUAAUUUUCAUGGCAUUCUUCUUAAUUGUUCUGGGUGAUUUAAAGCCAAGAUUUCAUUCAAGACUGCUAUCUUAUUUUACGAUCACUAUGUUUCACUGAUUUUUGGUUUUUGUAAUUUCCUGUCAAUUUCACAAAGAAAUUAUUCAACAUUAAGACCUAAAGUGGACUGGAGGUUAUUAUCAAUACUUUUGAUCAGUUCUUUAUUACUAGCACCUACCACCUUGUCCAUAUUCAGGUUUGUGACAAAUCCACUAUAAAUCUGCUCACCAGAAAAAUUUUCAGCUCAACAAUAGAGGCAUUCAGAAACAGUAGUCCAAAAUAAUCAAUUUUCAUUCUAACUGCCUAAACUUUUUGGAAUUUCCCAUUU